ACAAAGAAGGCAUGAGAACUACACACGUCGGGGCUACCGCGUCGCAUUGAGCUACGAAAGGCCUUGGCCAUAACCACAUGUACCCGGAGGCGGCUAAGGAGGGAAAUGGGUGUCUCGCGUCAUUCCGGUACGUACGGAGCAGGGUUCGACACUGACCUUCCUGAAACUUGCGGGCUCCCCCGUACCUCCCAAAUUUUCCUUACGGAGGGGCCCCCGUACCAGGCUCCUGUACCGGCCGAAAACCUUACGGGGGCCCCCGUAACCCUCGCAAAACCUUUACGGGGGCACUGUCCUUGGCUGAAACGCUGUGGAAAGUGACGCUUUGCAUUUUUUUGCCCUGUAAAUCGUUAUUUUCGUUAUUUUCUCGUGAACCAUUACACUCGGGGACACGGCACACUCAGUGAAAGCCAAGCGCCUUGGCCGCCGUGGCGCGCUUCUUGGAGGGCGGUGGCUUAGGAGGCCCUUGGUCACCUCCUGACGACUCAUUGUCUGCCAUCGCUGGAUGUUACAGACCAGAAGUUGUAAAAGUAUUAUGAAAAGUGUAGUUAAAUAUUGCAAUAUGAAUUAUGUCUGCCAAGUGUGUGGCCUUAUCCUUUAUAUGGUCCGUCCUCUCCCCUACGGGGGACUUUACGGGCCCCGUACGGCCUCUUAUAAAUCCUUAAAAUCCUUACGGGGGCCCCCGUAACCGGCCUUCGGCCGGUCCGGCGGCGGCCCCGCACGGGGGCGCUUCGCGCCCCAAAAUCCUUACGGGGGCCACCGUAAAGUCCUACGGGCCCUUACGGGGAUACCGAAAAAAGGCCAAAAACUUACGGGCCCCGUACGGGGUGUCGAACCCUGGUACGGAGACAUACCAUGCUGGCACACCCCGGACGGUAAUGCCGUUGGCGGCCAUGCCAUGGGUCGGCAGGGGGCCCUUAUAGGGCCUCUGUUGCACUCGGAAUGUGACGGAGUGCGCUGUUGGCUUCCUGUGCAAGUCUUGUGCCCCUUUCCUAAACCUCGAGCGUACCCAUGACCCCACCUAAAAACCCCACCCCACCCCACCACACACACGCACCCUCCUCCCGCAGCAAACUCAAAUACGGCAACACACUUAAUAAUAAGGUACAUGUACACGAUUAAUACGUCAUGCACACGUGUACACGUGUACGGCGCCACUCACGGUUCG
This 1165-nucleotide long non-coding RNA is filed under the name Volvox carteri. RNAcentral describes it as "long non-coding RNA (VCAR_LNC001003)". The record is from RNAcentral. Lineage: Eukaryota; Viridiplantae; Chlorophyta; Chlorophyceae; Chlamydomonadales; Volvocaceae.